This 161-nucleotide small nuclear RNA is filed under the name Dasypus novemcinctus (nine-banded armadillo). RNAcentral describes it as "U1 spliceosomal RNA (ENSDNOG00000028063.1)". It matches the Rfam family "U1 spliceosomal RNA". Rfam says of the family: U1 is a small nuclear RNA (snRNA) component of the spliceosome (involved in pre-mRNA splicing). Its 5' end forms complementary base pairs with the 5' splice junction, thus defining the 5' donor site of an intron. Lineage: Eukaryota; Metazoa; Chordata; Mammalia; Cingulata; Dasypodidae. The record is from RNAcentral.
CAACUUACCUGGGGGGGAAAUACCAUGAUCUCGCAGGUGGUUUUCCCAGGACGAGGCUCUUCCAUUGCACUCCGGACGUGCUGACCCCUGCAGGUUCCCAAAUGUGGGAGCUCGACUGCGUAGUUUGUGGUAGUGGGGGACUGCAUUUGCGCUCUCCCCUA